GAUGAACGCUGGCGGCGUGCCUAAUACAUGCAAGUAGAACGCUGAAGGAAGGAGCUUGCUCUUUCCGGAUGAGUUGCGAACGGGUGAGUAACGCGUAGGUAACCUGCCUGGUAGCGGGGGAUAACUAUUGGAAACGAUAGCUAAUACCGCAUAACAGUAGAUGUUGCAUGAUAUCUACUUAAAAGGUGCAAUUGCACCACUACCAGAUGGACCUGCGUUGUAUUAGCUAGUUGGUGAGGUAACGGCUCACCAAGGCGACGAUACAUAGCCGACCUGAGAGGGUGAUCGGCCACACUGGGACUGAGACACGGCCCAGACCCCUACGGGAGGCAGCAGUAGGGAAUCUUCGGCAAUGGACGGAAGUCUGACCGAGCAACGCCGCGUGAGUGAAGAAGGUUUUCGGAUCGUAAAGCUCUGUUGUAAGAGAAGAACGAGUGUGAGAGUGGAAAGUUCACACUGUGACGGUAUCUUACCAGAAAGGGACGGCUAACUACGUG
Molecule: ribosomal RNA, 497 nt
Filed under: uncultured bacterium
Lineage: Bacteria
Description: partial 16S ribosomal RNA
Rfam family: Bacterial small subunit ribosomal RNA
Source: RNAcentral